Long non-coding RNA from Passer domesticus (house sparrow), 8885 nucleotides. RefSeq lists it as uncharacterized. The record is from RefSeq and is a predicted model, not a curated record. The transcript has 2 exons. NCBI's taxonomy places the organism in Eukaryota, Metazoa, Chordata, Aves, Passeriformes, Passeridae.
GAGUUCGAGCCAUAGAGGAAGUGGGGGAGAGGAGGGAGAGCAGCAAGUCUCACCCGGUGGCUGUUGGAUGAGGGAGGACCGAGCCCUGGCAGGGCCCCGGUUCCACACCAGGCGCAGUCCGGACUCGGGCGCAGCGCCCGCCCCGGAUUGGCUCCUCCCGCCUGCGGCGAUCCAGCCCCGGUCGUUCCGCGGGGGCGCGGCGGGCGGGAGUCCCCGGGGUUCGGGCACGGGGGAGGUGGGCGCUGCUCUGCCCAGGAGGGUGCAGUGACCUCGGGGUUCCGGGGCGGGGAAGAUCCGCACCCCCGGGGCGCUGUGGGGCCGGGACCGUGCCGGAGCGCGCUGCUGCCCGGCGGGGCCCCCUGCACUCGCGCCGCCGCCUCGUGUCCGCCAGGCGGCGCCCCACGGGCCGGGGCCGCGGGCGGCGCUGAGGGAGCGGCGGCGUCGGGAGGGUCCCGGGGCUGGCACGGGCGGUGCCCGCGCCCGGCCGCUCCUCCAUUGCUUUGCAUUCCCUUGCAUGCCUAUGCCCCACAUUUGACCUGCCUACAGUUUUCCUCCAGAGCUUUGCCUUGCCUAGCCCUUCCUGUUACCGUUGCUUCCUAUGCCCAGCCUUGCCUCUGAUUUCUGGGCCUUCUCUCACCUGCCGCCCCAUUUGCUUUCCCCUCACGGCUCCAGUCUUGCCAUCCUCUCCCUUGACUUGCCUACAAUUGCCUAAACUUGCUUUGCAUUGCCUUACCUGCAUGGAAGGCAAGGCAAAGAGUGGUAGGCAAGGCAAAGCAAAGCCAGGAAGUAGGGCCAGGCAAGGUAGACGUAGGGAAGCAAAGGGUAGGCUAGGAAAACUAGGCAUGGUACUGGAGGCAAGGCAAAGCCAAAUUACUUGGAGUGCCUUUCCUUGGGAAGUAAAAUAUAUGGUGGCAAUGUUGGUAGGACAGCUGAUAAGGUACCGUGGGGAAGUAUAGUCCAGCAAGACAUUUCUGUCCUGGCCCCUUAUGUGUAGGAGCCAUUGCUGGACAUAGGACUGGAUGUGGUAUGCAACUUUUGCUUGAUAAGUUCCUGAAGGAGAACAGCAAUGCUUUCUCAUGGGAAGGAAAGAGCUUAGCCCCGGUGUUGGAGGUGCAGAUAAGAAGCUGUGUCAUGCAGCUUAAGGGCAACUUUCUAUCCUGGCAUAUUUGGUUUGGAAGCACUGACUCAGUUUGUGCAAUCAUGGAGUUGAUAUCCAUCUUUGGAAGGCCGUCUCCCUCCUGAGAGAAUCCAUUUGACAUGUGUUUUCCACUUCCUCAAGGCAGCCUUCUUGAAAUUCUGCCAGCACACUUCUUUUGAAAAAGCCUGUAUGCUGCAGCCACCAGUCCGGUGCUCUGUAGCUUUGUUCUUCAACUCUUGUAACCUGUCCUGCUUUUACUCUCCCGGACGAGAAUAGGCAUCUAUUUCUCGCACAGAUCAUUGUGGCGGCAGCACAGGGAUCUAGUGCACUGCUUCUGCCAAAAGACGCUCAGGCCAGGCACUUACAUUCUCAGCACUACUAUGUAUUUUGCAUCUCUUGCCAUCUGAAUCAUAUCGGAAAGCAUUUCACAGAGAGAAAAUGUGCCAGGACAACAAGCUUGGCUGGAGAGUACCCCUGAAACUGGUGGAAAUUUGUAUUUGCACCACAUUCAAGAGGCAGUCCUCUUUCCUCUACAACCUGCAAACCGUGUCAGAUCUCAGUGCUCUCUGCCUGCUCCUUCUUAACUUGAAGUACCAGUGCGCACAUUACAGCGUCGCAAGAACAAAAGAUCUGGAGGGGUGUCACAGUGCAUUUGUGUUGCACAGAUGCUGAAAAGUGGAAAAGCUGAAUGCCUUCGCUGAGCUUCAGUUCUGUGCAGAUCACAGAGUGAAGCGGCAGAGUUGUGUGCAGUGUACCUGUCCUGGAUUGUCAAGGAAAUUUUAUUCCAUUUGCCAUCUGUAUGGCAGUUAAGUGGGCAGUUCUCCUUAUCUCUUCCACAACAGUUCUUCUGUUAAGUGGGCAGUUCUUCUUAUCUCUUCCACAACCACUCCUCCCACUGGGGAGACAUCUGCUGAUAAUAGGCUAUUGAAUGUCACUGCAUGACUGAUAAGAACUAUAGCAUCCCAUUGUGAGAUGCUCCACCCAGAGGGAAGAGCCAAGCAUUGCUACCCGAGAAAUAAUCUGGAGAUUCUGGAACACCAGCAUGGCUUCACCACUGGAUUUCCCAGAGGAACAGCUGCCUCUUCUUCCACUGGGUCUUCAGAGGAAGACUACACCCUUUUCUACAGGAUCCCUGCUCCAACAGAACCACACCUGACACUCCAGGAGGACUGCAGCCACAUUUCCAACUGGACUGCUACUACCACCCUGACUACACCCUGAGGGUGUUAGGUUGUGUUCUGACUCAGUCAGUGUUGUUUUAGUUUACUGCAUAGUUUAUUUUUUAAAUUUUCUUCCCUAUUAAAGAACUGUUAUUCCUGCUCCCAUAUUUUUUGCCUGAGAGCCCCCGUAAUUUAAAAUUUAUAGCAGUUCGGAGGGAGAGGGUUUACAUUUUCCAUUUCAGGGGAGGCCCCUGCCUUCCUUAGCAGACUCCUGUCGUUUGAAACCAAGACAGUACCUCAUUGCAGAAGUCAAGCAAGAGCUCCUUCACAGUCACGUAAGAAUAUACCUGUAGCCGUAUAACUUUCUAAUCCAAUGGACAGUCACCAGUUAGUAUGAUUUGCUUUUUUAACCUGUCACCUUUGCUUCUUUCUACUGCAAUGUGGAUACUUUUACCCAGUAAGGUCUGAUUACAUGUACACAUAUAUGUCUCUAUUAUAAUAUCUAAAUUCUCAGCUUAUUCUAUUAGAAUCACACUAUACUAUGAAACCCUUCGUUAUCUUAUCUAAUACAGUUUUCUUACUUACUUAAGGCCUAUUCUUAUUUAUAACUAUAGAAACAUAAGUUGAUGAUUUUUCUGUUCAAUGUCUGUGUGCCUUGCUUUCACAUCAAUCUAGGCUUCUUAUAAGGCUGUAAAUCAAACCCUCUUGAGUCUGUGAAGAUUUCUAUCUUUCCAAUUCCCACACCUCUUCUAAUUCUCGCAGGAAAUUCCAACUUGAGUGUUUUUCAGUAUCUUCAUAAGUGGGCUUUUUCUGGCUAGAUCAUGCAAACACUGCCUGUCUAAGGAAAAAUCGAAUGUCCCAGCUAUGGAACAUGUAGGCAGAAGUUUGUGUGUCAUCAAUGAGAUGUGUGUGCUCACAAACAUAUAGUGAGAGCAGAGUGGUGUUAUGGUGAGGGGUGUGGGUUGGAGACAGAGAUGACACACACUCCAAAGGUCCUUGUAACAAACAGCCUGUUUUAUUUUUCAGGGCUUACUUUUAUAGGGAGUUCAAAACUCCCAGGUCUAGACAGUUCAUUUGGUCUGAUCCUCACACAGCCCAGCUCCUGACUAAUGAGAUAUCUGCGGCCCAGGCUGAAGGUGAUAGGUGCAGGUCCCUGUCUAUCAAACCAGGGCCUCCAAUGGCACAGAGUGGAGUCUGGAACCACUGAUGCAGAGCAAUGUAACAGCAACCCCCAACCAAAACUAAGAACAAAAAGUAUUCCUCAGUAAAAAUUUUUGACAGUAAGACAGAGACACGUGAAGCAAGGAAAAUCUCCUACAGAACAGUUGUGAUUAUGCAUUAAUCUUCAUAGGUGCAAACCCCUUUUUGGAAUAACUUUGCCUUUCCCACAAAUUUAUAGCACCUUGGAGCGAAGGAAAAGGUAUUGACAGGCCACAUUUCAAUAGCACAGCAAUUUCUUGCUUUAUGUGUUAAUCUUUCCACAAACAAAACAAAUGUAGAAUUGUUGAAAAGGGAAGACUUUGCAUGGGUAGGGUGUUGUCUGGGAGCUGAUACUGCAAUGGAUUUGUUACUGGCAUGAGAUGCAUCUGUGUAAUCAGAGUCCUGAUAGCAAACUUGUUGUCAAUGAUGAGUAACGCCAGCUGGAUUAAGACCAUGGUAAUGUAGAUGUCUGAGUGAGGAAAGCAACCAUUAUUUUUAUAGUUAAGGCUAUUAUUAGACAAAGGGUAAACAUGUAAAUGAAAAGUAGACAUUUGAUACACUUCACUGUGUAUCUUCAUUCAAGUCAGUCCUAUAGAAGGGAGAAAUUAACUUAUGGGAAUAUUGCAUGAUUUUAAUGCAGAGUCAGACUCAUCUUUUGUUUCUUUGUUGUGUGCUUGGCAUGGAACAUGCUGCUUUGAAGAGGGAAGUGCCUAACAGACAUUUCACUUUAAAACCACAUAUGCUUCCCUAUUCUUCUGAGACUUCAGCACAGAGCCCUUAUUCACAUGGUAGUUUCCUUCCAUUAGAGGGGAAACUCAUCUAGCCAGGCUUCAUCACUCCCUGCAUCUUUUGGGGUAGUUCUUGGAAGAAAAUAGAUAGCAACAUUUCUACUCCACAUGAUUAAUUUUUCAUCCUCUUCCUAAUGUACUUCAGCGAACAAGCCAUCAAUUCCCUACUGUUUCUAUGAAAAGGCAUGAAGCUAUUAACUGAAUUCCCAUAGAUAAAAUAAGGAAUGAAAGUCUUUUAUGCCUACAAACAUGCCCUUAUCUUAUGAAAAGUAUGGGUUGUCAAGGAUGGAAGAAGAUCUGUAUGAAAAGGGAGAAAACCCAGAAGCAUGCAGGGAUUUUCAGGUGUUAAAGCGAAAACAACAUUAAAUUAUUGACGGAAAGAAAUUGAAAGAGGGAGGAGGGAGGAGGAGGCAAAAGCUGCCCUUGAGGCAGCUGACACAAGGACAGUUUGCCUCAUGAGCAAACAAGAAAACCAAAAGAAACUUCACAACAAUCUCAUCAAAAACUUAGUGGACAAAUGUGUAAACCCAUUUGUUCAUUUAUUAUGUGUAUAAUAUAUAUAGAUAUGUUCUUCAUUCUGACAGAAUUUUCAGGUAGCAAGCUAGUGUAUGGCACCUGGAACCAAUGAUGUAUUGGAAAUGGCCAACAUGCAAAACACAGUUUAUCCUGAACGCUACCAUAGCAGAAUCACAGAAUCGUGGAAUGGCCAGGGUUGAAAAAGACCUUAAAGGCCACCUAGUUGCAAUGCUCUGACAUAGGCAGGGGCACCUCUUAUUUGCCUGGGUUGCUCAUAGCCCCAUACAGCCUAGCCUUAAACACCAGGUUGGGGUGUCCAUACCUUCUCUGGGCAAGCUGUGCCAGUGCCUCACCACCCUCACAGGGAAGAAUUUCUUCCCAGUAUCUAAUUUAAACCUGCCCUCUUUCAGUUUGAAGCCAUCCCCCAUUGUCCUGUCUCCAUAGUUCCUAAUGAAGAGUCCCUCUCCUGCUUCCCUUCAGAUACUGGAAGGUGUUGUGAGGUCUCCAUGCAACCUUCUCUUCAUGAGGCUAAACAGCCCUAAUUCUCUCAGCCUGUGGGAGGUGCUCUAGUCCUGAAUACUCAACAGCAGUAUUGAAUGAUGAAUUUUUUAAUCCUUUGGAGGCAUUUUGGUUUUCAGCCUUAAAUUAGACUAAAUAUCUUUGAUUUAUGGGCAUUGCAAGUGAACAACAGAAACCACUGCCCUGGCUUGCCUUUUCUACAGCUCCUUUCCAUGGGAGACUUGGUGCAAACAUCACAGCCAGUGAGAUAAUGGGCACACCAUAAUUCUGAAAGUGCUUUGCACAGUAAACAUAGAGGGGGAUUAAAUAUUGAAAUGCAGAUGAUAGAAGCUGCCCAAUGGACUGUGCUGGUGGAAAUCUAAUACUAAUCUACUAUUUUGAAUCCAAAUAAUUUCCUUCUGAUGAGGUCAGAGAGGAUUGUUUGCCUUUGAAUCUGAGCACGUGGACAGUAGUGUAUGGUCCACAGGUAGAAAACAGUGCAGAUACUUCUCCUUUUUCUCAUUAAUGGAUCAGAGACUCAAAAGGCAGCUACAAAAUGGUAAAUACAUCCCUAUAGAUUCAAAAAUUGUUGUUAUUAAUUUGCAUCUCCACCACAGCAAGAGAUCGUUAGAACUAAAAUACAGAUGGGAAUUUUACAGCUUCUCAGAAAUGAAGCAUGAACUGUCCAAUGGGCCUUAACAGUAGCUGCAAGCUUUUCAACAUGAGCUGAAAAUCUCAAAAGUAUUUUAACCUUACAGUACUUUUCUGUGUUAUGCUUUGAUCUCAAGGAAGCAUUAAAAAAAAAGAAUAAAAAAAGCACACCAGAUGUAUAUAUUACAUGACUAAAAUAAUAAGCAAAAUCAGUAACAUAUAUAGAAACAGAACCCAUGGUUUUUAACUUUCAACCUUGUCUUCUCAAUACACUCUAAAAUGGAAUUGUUCCCCUAUCUCCCUUGAAACAUUUUGGAGCAAAAAGCACUCUAACCUCCUGAUAGGUGUUUUGUUCAAAAAUUACUUGUUCUGGUUUUCUGUCCAUAAGUGGAGUAACGUGUCUGUGUUGGUAGCUGGCCAAAGGAGGUAGGAAGAGUAAUCAUCACCCACAACACUGGGACUAAAGAAAUUUCCACCCGCCCCAUUACUUUGUCAUGUGUUGGGUUAGAAGUUCAGAGUCUGUUUCCAUUUUUCCCAUCCCCUUAUAUUUCACAGAAUUAGAGCCCCUCAAACAUCAGUCCUGGCAGAACACCCCGCCAUGUGCUGUCAUAGAGGAUCUGCUGAUGUCCACUGCCUCUUACCAGUAUAGUGCUUGACACUGUUGCAGAUCAAGAACUUCUGAAUAGUUUUGGUUAAUGCUCUUUGAGCGGUUGAAAAUAGGAAAAGAAUGACUAGACAUUUUUAUGAUCAAAUCCCCCGAUGGAAUAAAAAUAGGAGUAUAAUAAAUGUAUUAAUUGUCAUAAGAAGGGAGAUAAAGGGUCCAAAAGACUACUUGCAUACUUACUGUUCUAAAUCCCUUGUUAUCUGGCAAAUUGCAAAAGAUUCCAGGCUUUCACCAAAAUGUAAGUCAGAUUAAAAUAUGAAGCCUUACAGUUUACUGGAUAUAAAACUUCAUAAUCCAUUUUUAAAUGUUAGAGAUUGUUAUGUAUUUCCUAUUAAUAUCCUGAGGUUUAGAGCUGCAAUUCAGGGAGAAACAAAUGCUAUUUUGAAUUAAUUCUCUUAAGUCAUCUUGUCUGGACUCUCUCCUCUUGGUUUUAAUUUCUGAAACUCUGUAUGAAAGGCAUAGAGUUCUGGAUUAAUUACUUUCAACAGUUUCCCCUGUAAUUCUUCUUUUAAGGCAAACCUAUAAAAAUUCACUGUUUCUUACCCCACCACUUCUAAAAUUCUAUGGAGAAGCAAAAAAUCCCCCAUCAAACUGAUAGUAUAAAUAUUUCUAAAAUCAUGGAAUAUUCAGGGGAGUUAGAAAGGAAGGAUAGGCCUGGUAGGCCCUAGGAAAAUGUUAAGGUAGGCCCUGGAAAAAUGUUAGGCUGCACCUGUAUAAUCAUUUCAUGACUAUGAUAAAUUAUAUGAUUGUUAAAUACGAUGAUUUUUUGGCAAUUGGACAUAAUUAUUGUUUAAUCAUAACAACAAUAAUGAGAAAUUAUGUUGGGGGUUUGAUGGAAAUUACAAAAAUCCAUGUUUGAAUGAAAUCAACGUAUUCAAAUAGAACAAUAUAAGUUUAAUAAUUAAUGUGUAGUUAUAUAACAAUAACAGUAUAAAAACGUGUUCAUGCCGAACCCAUGUCGGAGUCAGAUUUGGGUCAGUACCCCUGACACCCAGAGCUCUUCAAUAAAAGCACCUGCAUAUAAUCAUUCCAUAAUUAUGUGUUUCUGAAUGCUAACAAAACAACUAAAUCUCUGUACCAAUUAGUAUGAAAAACAGUCCAUUAAUUUCUUUCUUAACAUAUUUUUAUUGUGUAUUAAUAUAGCAACCUUUUCUUGCUUUUAUAGAUUAGAAACAAAUUCUUAAAGCUAUAAGAAAACACAGGUUUACUGUAUCUGAUUCUGAGAUUAUAGAAGUCCAGCAAGGAGUUCAGAUGUCAAAGUGUAUGUACAACAAGGUUCAGCACAACGUUGAGACAUAUUAACUAUUUUUCAAGAAAAACAGCCAAACUGAAACUCUUUAGACUUCUAUACUAUCAUGUGUGCCUGCUUCCAAAACCUGACCUAAUUUGUUGGAAACUAUCUGCAAUAUUACUGUAAACAAUGCUGUGAAUGUAGGACAUUGUAAUUCUUUUCUUCCAUUGAAAACUGCAAGUGGAGUCACGCCACUUGUCUUCAAAAUUGUCUAUUUCCUUGCAAACUGGUAAAAUAAUGAUAAAAUAAAGUGUUCUGUUCAUACAGUUUAAAUGUAAUGAUGUUCAAAAUGAAAAAAAAAUCCAUUCAGGUAUGGUCUGCAGUAAUACAGCAGAGAGAAGAUGAACCAGUCUGGCAUACAAAAUAAAAGGAAGCAGAAUUUGAGAAUUUGGAACACCUUACAUUGUAAUAUUUAAAGAAAAAAAAAUUAAAUGUAACCUACCCAAACUCAAUCAGUGGUGCACAGACAGAGAAAAAGAACUAAUUACUACUAUUAUUUCUUUCAUUCUCAGACAAGAACUUAAAUUAUCCUCUUGAAUGCAUGGAAGAUUGUUGGAAAAGACAGCAGCCUUCUUCUUUACAACAUAUUCCUCAGAGCUCCAAGAGAUAAAUCAUUAGAGCUAUGAGGAUCUUUCUCUGUAAAACUUCCAGAGCAUAGCCAAUAUUAUAUUCCUUUAGAGAUCCUCGCCGCCCUGGGGGCCUGGUUGAUAGUCUACAGCCCCAGUACUUCAGCCAGACCCUCUGCCUUAUUUAGCAUGGCUACUGCAGCAAGGACAUAAUCUAUACUGGCUUUCUAUCCAAAAUAUAUGCAAGGCACAAGAAAGAAUAUACCCAAAACACUGAUCACAGCUUAUGACCUUCAGAACAAAUAUCUCUGGAUGGCAAUACUGAAUCUUCUGAUCCAAACCAUCAGGAAACAUUUCUUUAUAGGCAAAAAAGGCUUCUGUGUAUUGUACAAAAAAUAGUUAUGUAAACCAGA